RNAcentral lists this ribosomal RNA (258 nucleotides) under uncultured bacterium. Its description in RNAcentral is "partial 16S ribosomal RNA". It matches the Rfam family "Bacterial small subunit ribosomal RNA", at positions 15 to 263 of the family's 1533-position model. The record is from RNAcentral.
GAUCCUGGCUCAGGAUGAACGCUAGCUACAGGCUUAACACAUGCAAGUCGAGGGGCAUCAGAAAGAAAGCUUGCUUUCUUUUGCUGGCGACCGGCGCACGGGUGAGUAACACGUAUGCAACCUGCCCUUUACUCGGGGGAUAGCCUUUUCGAAAGAAAGAUUAAUCCCGAUGGGAUAAUGAUUCCGCAUGGUUUCAUUAUUAAAGGAUUCCGGUAAAGGAUGGGGAUGCGUUCCAUUAGGUUGUUGGUGAGGUAACGG